GACGAACGCUGGCGGCGUGCUUAACACAUGCCAGUCGAACGGAAAGGCCUGCUUUCCCUUGUGGAUUGCGGGUGCUCGAGUGGCGAACGGGUGAGUAACACGUGAGUGAUCUGCCCCCAACUUGGGUAUAAGCCUGGGAAACUGGGUCUAAUUCCCGAUAGGACUGCAGGGUGGUGCCUGUGGUGGAAAACGAUUUUCUAGUGGUUGGGGAUGAGCUCGCGGCCUAUCAGCUUGUUGGUGGGGUAAUGGCCUACCAAGGCGGCGACGGGUAGCCGGCCUGAGAGGGUGGACGGCCACAUUGGGACUGAGAUACGGCCCAGACUCCUACGGGAGGCAGCAGUGGGGAAUAUUGCACAAUGGGCGGAAGCCUGAUGCAGCGACGCCGCGUGGGGGAUGACGGCCUUCGGGUUGUAAACUCCUUUCGACCGCGAGGAAGCCACCUGGUUGGAAGGGUGGUGACGGUAGUGGUAGAAGAAGCACCGGCUAACUACGUG
Molecule: ribosomal RNA, 494 nt
Filed under: uncultured bacterium
Lineage: Bacteria
Description: partial 16S ribosomal RNA
Rfam family: Bacterial small subunit ribosomal RNA
Source: RNAcentral